CCUACGGGGGGCGGCAGUAGGGAAUUUUCGGCAAUGGACGAAAGUCUGACCGAGCAAUGCCGCGUGAACGAUGAAGGUCUUCGGAUUGUAAAGUUCUGUUGUUAGGGAAGAAUAGUAUAACUAGGAAAUGAGUUAUAUUUGACGGUACCUUACUAGAAAGCUCCGGCUAACUAUGUGCCAGCAGCCCCGGUC
This 192-nucleotide ribosomal RNA is filed under the name uncultured bacterium. Its description in RNAcentral is "partial 16S rRNA". It matches the Rfam family "Bacterial small subunit ribosomal RNA", at positions 338 to 522 of the family's 1533-position model. The record is from RNAcentral.